Molecule: unclassified non-coding RNA, 303 nt
Filed under: Hevea brasiliensis (rubber tree)
Lineage: Eukaryota; Viridiplantae; Streptophyta; Magnoliopsida; Malpighiales; Euphorbiaceae
Source: RNAcentral
AGGGGGGUCGCAGAAUUCGGGACCUAACGAUGUUCGCUUCGUCACAUGAACGGGAGCGGACGAUUCCCUCGUCUCUCCCUUUUCGGGGAAUGGCUGCAAUCACAAGCAAGUGAUUGAAUGAGUGGGGGCUCCGAAAGCACAUGCGGGAUAAGCAGGUGUUUCAGGAGACGGUCUAAAAAUGGGUCCGGUCCAGAAAGAAAAGAAAAGAGAACUCUCAACAAGCUGGAACUAAUCAAGAUCAAUAGGAAGAGGAGGAAGAGGAUCAAAUCAAAAAGCUUAUGACGAGCAUCUAUUUGAAUCGAU